UGUAUGUAACUUACUAAACAUACAUAACAUGACUUAACUUUGAUACUUUUUUGGUACAUUCCAGAAAACCAGGACCCCCUCCAUGAUGCAGGCUAUGGGGCCACAUAAAACUUUGUCCAGGGUUACUACAUAACAUAAAGAACCCCCUGAAUGAUGUAGGCUAUGGGGCCACAUAAGACUUUGUGCAUCCAGGGUUACAUAGCAGGACAACUUUAAACUAAAAAGCUACCAGACUGGGAUUUUAGUGUACUCCAGGAUCUACCAAAUACUACUACGAAGUGUACAGUGCAUAAUAUAGUGUUUAGUGUAUAAUCUAACCUAAGGAUUAAGUGUAGUA
Molecule: long non-coding RNA, 337 nt
Organism: Macrobrachium nipponense
Lineage: Eukaryota; Metazoa; Arthropoda; Malacostraca; Decapoda; Palaemonidae
Exons: 3
Source: RefSeq, a predicted model, not a curated record